This 885-nucleotide ribosomal RNA is filed under the name uncultured marine bacterium. Its description in RNAcentral is "bacterial SSU rRNA". It matches the Rfam family "Bacterial small subunit ribosomal RNA", at positions 22 to 904 of the family's 1533-position model. The record is from RNAcentral.
GCUCAGGAUGAACGCUAGCGGCAGGCCUAACACAUGCAAGUCGAACGGUAACAUUGGUUGCUUGCAACCAGAUGACGAGUGGCGCACGGGUGCGGAACGCGUAUCGAACCUGCCCCUGUCAGGGGAAUAGCCCAUGGAAACGUGGAUUAAUGCCCCAUGGCAUCACGGUAUCGCAUGAUACUGUGAUUAAAGAUUUAUCGGACGGGGAUGGCGAUGCGUGCCAUUAGUUAGUUGGUAAGGUAACGGCUUACCAAGGCAGCGAUGGCUAGGGGCCCUGAGAGGGGGAUCCCCCACACUGGUACUGAGACACGGACCAGACUCCUACGGGAGGCAGCAGUGAGGAAUAUUGGACAAUGGUGGGAACACUGAUCCAGCCAUGCCGCGUGCAGGAUGACUGCCCUAUGGGUUGUAAACUGCUUUUAUACGGGAAGAAACCCAGGUACGUGUACCUGGCUGACGGUACCGUAAGAAUAAGGACCGGCUAACUCCGUGCCAGCAGCCGCGGUAAUACGGAGGGUCCGAGCGUUAUCCGGAAUCAUUGGGUUUAAAGGGUCCGUAGGCGGGCCCGUAAGUCAGAGGUGAAAGGCCACGGCUCAACCGUGGGACUGCCUUUGAUACUGCGGGUCUUGAGUCAUAGUGGGGUUGCCGGAACAUGUGGUGUAGCGGUGAAAUGCAUAGAUAUCACAUAGAACACCGAUCGCGAAGGCAGGUGGCCAACUAUGAACUGACGCUGAUGGACGAAAGCGUGGGUAGCGAACGGGAUUAGAUACCCCGGUAGUCCACGCCGUAAACGAUGGAUACUAGCUGUGGGGACUUCGGUCUCCGUGGCCAAGCGAAAGUGAUAAGUAUCCCACCUGGGGAGUACGUUCGCAAGAAUGAACUCAA